Molecule: ribosomal RNA, 460 nt
Filed under: uncultured bacterium
Lineage: Bacteria
Description: partial 16S ribosomal RNA
Rfam family: Bacterial small subunit ribosomal RNA
Source: RNAcentral
CCUACGGGCGGCAGCAGUGAGGAAUAUUGGUCAAUGGACGCAAGCCUGAACCAGCCAAGUCGCGUGCAGGAAGACGGCUCUACGAGUUGUAAACUGCUUUUAUACGAGAGUAAAUCGCGACACGUGUACCGUUUUGUAUGUAUUUUAUGAAUAAGGAUCGGCUAACUCCGUGCCAGCAGCCGCGGUAAUACGGAGGAUUCAAGCGUUAUCCGGAUUUAUUGGGUUUAAGGGGUGCGUAGGUGGGUUGAUAAGUUAGUGGUGAAAUUGCGGGGCUCAACCCCUGCACUGCCUUUGAUACUGUCGGGCUAGAGUGUAGUAGAGGUAUGCGGAAUGUAUGGUGUAGCGGUGAAAUGCAUAGAGAUCAUACAGAACCCCGAUUGCGAAGGCAGCUUGCCAGACUCCGACUGACGUUGAGGCACGAAAGCGUGGGGAGCGAACAGGAUUAGAUACCCCAGUAGUC